Molecule: ribosomal RNA, 492 nt
Filed under: uncultured bacterium
Lineage: Bacteria
Description: partial 16S ribosomal RNA
Rfam family: Bacterial small subunit ribosomal RNA
Source: RNAcentral
AGUGAACGCUGGCGGUAGGCCUAACACAUGCAAGUCGAACGGCAGCACAGUAAGAGCUUGCUCUUACGGGUGGCGAGUGGCGGACGGGUGAGGAAUACAUCGGAAUCUACUUUUUCGUGGGGGAUAACGUAGGGAAACUUACGAUAAUACCGCAUACGACCUACGGGUGAAAGCAGUGGAUCUUCGGACCUUGCGCGAUUGAAUGAGCCGAUGUCGGAUUAGCUAGUUGGCGGGGUAAAGGCCCACCAAGGCGACGAUCCGUAGCUGAUCUGAGAGGAUGAUCAGCCACACUGGAACUGAGACACGGUCCAGACUCCUACGGGAGGCAGCAGUGGGGAAUAUUGGACAAUGGGCGCAAGCCUGAUCCAGCAAUACCGCGUGGGUGAAGAAGGCCUUCGGGUUGUAAAGCCCUUUUGCUGGGAAAGAAAAGCAGCAGGUUAAUACCCCGCUGUUCUGACGGUACCCAAAGAAUAAGCACCGGCUAACUUCGUG